Molecule: small nucleolar RNA, 107 nt
Organism: Cynara cardunculus var. scolymus (artichoke)
Lineage: Eukaryota; Viridiplantae; Streptophyta; Magnoliopsida; Asterales; Asteraceae
Source: RefSeq, a predicted model, not a curated record
AUGCCAUGGUGUGUAAAUUUUCUAAACAGCUCUUUGAACCUUUCCUAUGCAUCAGGAACAGCUUCAUCAUCCAGUUGUUUGAAAAGACAUAUCUCAUUUCUGGACUU